UACGUAGGCAGCGAGCGUUGUUCGGAAUUACUGGGCGUAAAGAGUGUGUAGGCGGUGUUCUAAGUCUGUUGUGAAAUCUCCCGGCUCAACUGGGAGGGUGCGGCGGAAACUGGAAUGCUAGAGUGUGGGAGAGGUAAGCGGAAUUCCUGGUGUAGCGGUGAAAUGCGUAGAUAUCAGGAGGAACACCGGUGGCGAAGGCGGAUCUCUGGGCCUUACCUGACGCUCAGGCGCGAAAGCUAGGGGAGCGAACAGG
Molecule: ribosomal RNA, 253 nt
Filed under: uncultured bacterium
Lineage: Bacteria
Description: partial 16S ribosomal RNA
Rfam family: Bacterial small subunit ribosomal RNA
Source: RNAcentral